UACCCCCAGCUGUGUGUGAUGGUGACUGAUCCCAGCUGCAGGGAGGUCAGAGACAACUGCUUACACAGACCUGGUAACUCAGUAGGGGGAGAUCUAGGAGAGGUGUUUUCUCUCUUGGAAGGGCCUGGAGGAGUCAGGAUGGAAGAGACCCCCCAUGGAAAAGGUCGAAGCUUAUUCAAAGAGUGCCCAUGCUACCAUUGCCCAUGCUGUAUCAGCUUUGUGGAUAAAUAGAAGACCGCAGUCUCUGUGGCUGUCAAAAACCUUUGACAAGGCCUAUAUCUUAAAAGCAGGCUUGAACUAUAUUCAGGAAAAACAAUGAAAGCAAUGGAGAUUUGUGGGAAACUGAUCCCUUUUGUUGAUGGGUGCUUGCCUGAAGAUCAUUAGAUCUCCACUUUCAUAGAUUCCAAGGCCUGAAGAAACCACUGUGAUCAUCUAAUCUGAUCUCCUAUAGGGCUGUAUCCAGAUGACUUUUUGUUUAGGCUUGUCGA
This is a long non-coding RNA of Mauremys reevesii (Reeves's turtle), 488 nucleotides long. RefSeq lists it as uncharacterized. The transcript is spliced from 3 exons. The record is from RefSeq and is a predicted model, not a curated record. Lineage: Eukaryota; Metazoa; Chordata; Testudines; Geoemydidae.